CAUCAGCAUCUUAAAAAUGAAUUCUUUAUGAGACAAAGAACAAGCCACCCAAUUUCUGAAAUCACUGAAGUGGAAAGCUUGUCUCAGGACCAGAGAGACGUACAGAGAAAGCAAUAUGAUGCUUCCUCCUAAGAACCGGAGAGAAAUACAGCCAAAUCCCAGAAGAUAGCAUCCAGGAACUAAAGAAGCUACGCUGGGCAGAGGUCUUUAUUGGCCAGCCAAAACCACGCAACACUACUCAUGGGAUGGACUGGCAGGUUCACUUCCUGUCAUCAGGCUUUCCCUGGUGCCAUGGUGGACUAUAGCUCCUCAGACUGUGAGCCAAGACAAACGCUUCUUCCCACAAGUUGCUUCUCGUCAGGUAUUUUGUCACAGGAGUGAGUGUUCGUGGAGAGCAGUAAAUGGUUUUCUUCAAUCGGAGAUGCAUGUUCCUAAUUAGACUCAUUUAUUCUGCAAUAUUAAGAACAUGCAACUAGUGGAGACAACAGAAAGGAGCAGGGGCCAGCUGAAUGUCGAUGCUUUACUGAGUUAAUGGAGGUGGACACAUCCCAACUGGAUUUUCCCCAGAGAGCACAACUUCAUGGCCCCAUCCUGACAGCUGACAUCCUCUGAGCCCAAGGUUGAAGGUGAUGACUAAGCUCUGGAACCCAGCUCAUGAAGUGCUGCUAGCUACAUCUACGGCGGCCCUUCCCUCUUUCGUUAAACUAUUCUGGAAACACUCUCACAAACAAACCCAGAGCUGCGUUUUCUUGGUGUUUCUAAAUCCAGUCAAGUUGGCGAUAAAGACAAAACAUGACGUGCUGCGAGAGCCAGAAGAGACAGAGCACAGGAGACAAGUCCUAACACAUCAGAAGCUUCAAAACGCAGAGGUGGGCACAGCAGAGAGACCCAAUGCAGUUCCCAAGACACAGAGCAGACGUGAUUUAAAAUGAGUAAAUUGCAAACGCAGAGUGUGAGCCAUCUCUGUCUACCUAAGAUGAAACCAGACUAUGAAGCAACACAAAGAGCCAGAGAGGUUGAGUGGACAAAAGAGAUGACUUCAUCGCUCUGGCAGGACUUAUGGAACUCUUCUGGAAAAGAACCCACAUUAAUUCCCCAAAGGAAAGAAAAUAAGAUAUUGUCUGGAAAGACCUAAGAGUGUCACUUCACUAUUCCCCCUCAGAGCACCCUGGCAAUAAGGUUGCCAUGCUAAAAUGUUGCAUGUGCUGCCCUCCCUGACGCAUCCUCUAGAGCCUGUUUCGACACAUCCCACAUAGAUUCUCUUUGCCAUACUUCCUUUGAGUUAUUUUUCUUUCUGGACCUCUGUGCUCCAGAGAAGCAACAUUCUGGGAAGUGAAGUGAUUUAGACCUACCUGAUGGCUUUGCUCCCUUUUAUUCCCGAUUAGGAGUCCUGGGCCUGAGCCCAACCCUCUCACUGGUCAGUUUUCUGCUUUGCCCAGUCAAUGAACAGAGGAAGAUAGCCAAAGUAAUUCUCAAAGUGGAAAACUCAAGGAAAAGAUGUGAUGGCUUUGAAGAGAGGACCAUGUGAAUAGAGAAUGAAACUGGACCAGGAACUCCAAUGCAAACCUAACAAAUGUAGACUAGAAGAUGAGGUUAGAAGGCUGGCCAAAGGGAAGCCGAACUACUACAUCAAUAGUUAUUUUACUUCACUGAAACACAAUGAAUACUCUUUGUUGGUUUCUAUAUGUUUCUAGAGUCUUAGUUUUUUUUAAUUAUUAUUUAUGUGUAUGUGUGUCUAACUGUAUGUGUAUGCACACAUGCAUGCAUGUACCAUCAGACACCAGAAGAGGGCACCAGAGCCCCCUGGAGUGUAGAGUUACAGAUGGUUGUGAGCCACUCAGCAUGAAUGCUGGGAAACAAAUCCUUUGAAAGAGAAGCAAGUGCUCUUUAACUUUCUCUCUCUAGCCCCAAAGAAGGCUUUUAAAAAGAGCAGGGUUGAAACAUGAAAACUGUGAUUAGGAGUUCAGGCUUUGUAGGAGGAAGACCAGAUAAAGAUGCAUGGCUCUGCGUCUCACUAGCAAGGUGACCUCAAACCCAUUGCUAGGCUGUGGGCCCCGAUCUGUGAAAUGACAAUAACCACAUCUACAGCACAGAAGUGUGUCCAUGUGUCAGUGGCCAUUAAUACUACUCCUGCUAUGUGCUAGAUAUUGAUAAUUAAUAUGGACUAUGCCCAAGGUCACACAUGGCAACCUACUGAUCAAAACCCAUUAUGGCUUGGCACUCUGUAAGCAUGCUCCUUACAAUGUCAGGACCAUAAACCACUCAGCCCCCGUAUCUGGCAAAUGACUACAGGUUAAUGUAAAAGGUCAAAAAUCUUUUGUCUUAUUUUAUUUUACAUUUUUCUCUCACAUAGGGUAAAAGAGAGAAAAAAAAUCUUAACACUGAUUAGGAGGUUAAGAAAAAAAAGUUCUAGAAACCAGAAAAAGAAAAUUUUUUUCUCUGAAGAUGUGAAUGCCUGUCACAAACUUUCUUGGCUUGGCAUAUCAUGAGUCACUUCUUUUGUUCUCUGAAACUGACCAGAACUUUAACUAAAUUUUGGUGUCAAGUCAAAGCCUACCCUUACCCUUCUCGUAUUGUAAACAAGUCCACUGAAGAUCCAGGUUAAAGUAUUUUCUCUUUUCAGCUUGAUGAAUUACUAACAAGAACGGCACAUGAGAUAAUGUCUCUUGGUAUCUGGAUAAUACACUGCCUCUCAAACCUACGACAGAAA
Long non-coding RNA from Mus musculus (house mouse), 2710 nucleotides. RefSeq annotates it as predicted gene, 35940. Lineage: Eukaryota; Metazoa; Chordata; Mammalia; Rodentia; Muridae. The transcript is spliced from 6 exons. The record is from RefSeq and is a predicted model, not a curated record.